GAUUGGCUAGAAAGCACUACUUUAGCAAGCAAAAAUACCUGGCACAAGCAUGGACACUCUUUUCUGUUUUUGUGCCUAAGUAAGCAAUCAUCUGUCUGUGUUCUUUACAGGCUGAGAGUGGCCAUUAAGAAAUGAAAGCGAGUUUAGAUUUCACAGGCAUGUUUGGAUUUGACGACAUUUUGCAUUUCCAGAAACCAAGGUCAGCUCAACCCUUUUUGCACUGGGACCGAGAUACCACCAUGAUUUAAGCGAAGAACUACACUGGUGAAUUCAAGGAAGCUGUGCGAGGGGUAACAAUUGCCUGUGACAACUGUCUGCGGAGGAUAUUGUCGUCAGAAAUUCCAAACUGCCCCAGAGCUGUGGCAGGAAAGUCCAGAGAUUAUUAUUGGGUGAAUUUGUAACAUGGUAAAUACAGUAAAAAAGAAGAUUCUGGAAACAAAGUGACUGAACAAAAAUUAAAAGUUUAAAAAGAAAACGAGUGGACUUUCCUCAUUUGGAUACCAUUUCAGAGGCCCAUCUCCUAAUCCUGGUCAAAAGAAGUUGCUGCCAGAGAACCAAAGCCACAGAGUCUAGCAAGCUCAUGGUCCAAUAGAAGCGAUCACCUCAAGUCUGCUUUGGGGUAUCCACACAACUGUGCAACCUUGGUUAAAAAUCACGGAGAUAUUUCUUAAAAGUCCGUGAGCCACGAACACCAGCAGGACAAUGAUACAUCCAUCUAAAAUUUGAUUAAGGGACCUUCCCUACCCUUCCAGAGCAAAACAGUUUGGUGGUAUCUCCACGUCUGAAACAACCUUUUCCCCAGCUUAAUGACAAUUGCCAAAUCUUCCCACAUCCAGAUCUCACAGCGUUAUCAUCCCAAACUUAAUCCAUAGAAGCUGAAGUGAUGGUCUGCAUGAUUCUCUCCUCUUCCCCAGCAUUUGAAAACCAGUUGGUGCAGAUGACCUCCGCUUGCAGGUCUGAGGACACUCUUGAUCCAAUCAAUGAGGAACUUUAAGAAUCCUAAGCUAGUAGCUAACAGAAACUGAUUUUCAGUGACUUUUCCUUGGGUUUUAGAAGCAGAAUGCUAGCUUUCCCCAUUAGAACGGGGCAAGUCCCCAGCCUUGUGCCCUAGUUUGGAUAACUAGAUCCCAGGUUUUAUACUUGUCCACUACCCAAGUUUCUCAGGGGCCAAGGCCAGCGGUCUCCUGUCUUCCUGCAUGCAAACAUUGGGUGGGUACCACUUGAUGUCAGGAACUGUGCCAAGCACUAGAGAGAAGAAUGAAAAUAAAUAGGGCUCAGUCCCUGCUCUGAAAAAAAGCUCACAGUAGAGAGGAGAACAGAGAUAUAUUUUAAGUACUCUACAAGAUGUUCUAAUAGAAGCAGUGGUAAGGAGAACAAAAGUGCAGACUGGUGACCACGCUGGGGUAGAACCAAGAAUAUUUCACACAAGAGGUAACAUCGAGAUGGCACUUAAAAGUAUUCAUGUGGCAGAAAAGGCAGAGGGACAGAAAGAAAUGCAAGAGAGACAUUCUAAGGAGGCAGCACCGCACUUCUGAAGUCAGACCAGCGGUUCUCAAACUUUCAUGUUCAAAGUCCUCACUCCAGGAGUGUUUCUUAAGAUGCACACAGUAGUCCUCACUCUCAGAUUCUGGUUCUGUUGGUCUAACACGGGGUUCAGAAGUUUGGAUCUUUCAUAAACAGGUAGAUCUCAGGCCACACACAUUGAAAAACAGCUGACCGGGGUCACACAGGUGCGUGGUGUUUGAGGGGUGAAGAAGAAAUUGAGGACGCACGGAGCAUGGAUUGUGGGGUGGCAGGUGGGCUGUUACAUAAAGCUAGUCAGCCAGCUCAGAGAGAGAUUGUCAAGAGUUCUAGGCACCUGUGAAGUCCGAAAAAUGAGAUUCUGAGUUACCAAGAGCCACCAUCAGAGGGGCCCAGGGCUGGAUCCCAUCCCUACAGGUGCGACCUCUUGGGUAUCCAUAGCUCAGCAGCAGGGAUGCGGGGAUGAAGACUGGCCUGAGCCCAGACAGCCCACACUCCCAGACCAACUCUGCCACCUGCUAUGUCCUCUUGGCAACUUAUUUAAUCAUCUUGGGCCUCAGUUUUUCCUCUGCAAAAUGGGAAUAAUAGCACCAAAAUGUCAAGGUUGUUCUAAAGAUUAAAUGGUAUAGGACAUAUGUAAUGUCUAUCUCAGGACCUUCCACGAAGUAUCUGUCAUAAUAAAAAUUCAAUUACAGUAUCCAACAUUUAUUGGAAAAGUCAGGCAAAUAGGGCUCCUGGGUGGCUCAGUGGUUGGGCAUCUGCCUUUGGCAAGGGUGUA
Molecule: long non-coding RNA, 2299 nt
Organism: Canis lupus familiaris (dog)
Lineage: Eukaryota; Metazoa; Chordata; Mammalia; Carnivora; Canidae
Exons: 3
Source: RefSeq, a predicted model, not a curated record